GACCUCGGAUCAGGUAGGAAUACCCGCUGAACUAAAGCAUAUCAAUAA
RNAcentral lists this ribosomal RNA (48 nucleotides) under Cryphonectria parasitica (chestnut blight fungus). RNAcentral describes it as "partial 28S ribosomal RNA". The record is from RNAcentral. Lineage: Eukaryota; Fungi; Ascomycota; Sordariomycetes; Diaporthales; Cryphonectriaceae.